Molecule: ribosomal RNA, 588 nt
Filed under: uncultured bacterium
Lineage: Bacteria
Description: bacterial SSU rRNA
Rfam family: Bacterial small subunit ribosomal RNA
Source: RNAcentral
UCCUACGGGAGGCAGCAGUGGGGAAUAUUGCACAAUGGGGGGAACCCUGAUGCAGCCAUGCCGCGUGUGUGAAGAAGGCCUUCGGGUUGUAAAGCACUUUCAGUUGUGAGGAAAGGUUAGUAGUUAAUACCUGCUAGCUGUGUCGUUAGCAACAGAAGAAGCACCGGCUAACUCCGUGCCAGCAGCCGCGGUAAUACGGGAGUGGCAAGCGUUAUCCGGAAUUAUUGGGCGUAAAGCGUCCGCAGGCGGUCUGUCAAGUCUGCUGUUAAAGCGUGGAGCUUAACUCCAUUUCGGCAGUGGAAACUGACAGACUAGAGUGUGGUAGGGGCAGAGGGGAUUCCCGGUGUAGCGGUGAAAUGCGUAGAUAUCGGGAAGAACACCAGUGGCGAAGGCGCUCUGCUGGGCCAUAACUGACGCUCAUGGACGAAAGCCAGGGGAGCGAAAGGGAUUAGAUACCCCUGUAGUCCUGGCCGUAAACGAUGAACACUAGGUGUCGGGGGAAUCGACCCCCUCGGUGUCGUAGCCAACGCGUUAAGUGUUCCGCCUGGGGAGUACGCACGCAAGUGUGAAACUCAAAUGAAUUGACGG